This 409-nucleotide long non-coding RNA is filed under the name Papio anubis (olive baboon). Its description in RNAcentral is "lncRNA (ENSPANG00000037483.1)". Lineage: Eukaryota; Metazoa; Chordata; Mammalia; Primates; Cercopithecidae. The record is from RNAcentral.
GAUUAUGCAAUCCUGAAAAUAGUUUCAAAAAAAUUUAACCUUAUUUUUGUAAAUAUGACCUAUGUCUUAUAAUACUCUCCCACUCCCUAUUUGACAAGGAGAGAAAGAAGGCUGUCAUGAUGUGAACUCAAUUUUAUUUUUUCUUUCACAGAAACCAUUUAUUGAAGACUUACCAUGUGCCCUGCAUUGCAGUACAGGAUGAGAACCUACAAACACUAGAGCAUCUUAUCCUGUAACUAGAAUCAAACUCAGUGCUACUGUGAGAAUCUGUGUUCGCUAGGGACCCAAGGACUACAGUUGGAAUGCCAUUAGAUUCCAUUAAAUUCACAUAGCCUCCUGCAAUUCCAUCUAACUCUCCAGGUAAGACAGUAAUAUUUAUGCUUUUCAAUGUGUCUUGGUUAAUUAUAUU